Molecule: ribosomal RNA, 501 nt
Filed under: uncultured bacterium
Lineage: Bacteria
Description: partial 16S ribosomal RNA
Rfam family: Bacterial small subunit ribosomal RNA
Source: RNAcentral
AUUGAACGCUGGCGGCAGGCUUAACACAUGCAAGUCGAGCGGGGUGAUGGUGCUUGCACUAUCACUUAGCGGCGGACGGGUGAGUAAUGCUUAGGAAUCUGCCUAUUAGUGGGGGGCAACAUUUCGAAAGGAAUGCUAAUACCGCAUACGUCCUACGGGAGAAAGCAGGGGAUCUUCGGACCUUGCGCUAAUAGAUGAGCCUAAGUCGGAUUAGCUAGUUGGUGGGGUAAAGGCCUACCAAGGCGACGAUCUGUAGCGGGUCUGAGAGGAUGAUCCGCCACACUGGGACUGAGACACGGGCCAGACUCCUACGGGAGGCAGCAGUGGGGAAUAUUGGACAAUGGGCGCAAGCCUGAUCCAGCCAUGCCGCGUGUGUGAAGAAGGCCUUAUGGUUGUAAAGCACUUUAAGCGAGGAGGAGGCUACUUUAGUUAAUACCUAGAGAUAGUGGACGUUACUCGCAGAAUAAGCACCGGCUAACUCUGUGCCAGCAGCCGCAGUAA